GAGAGGGGGGUUUCACCAUGUUGGCUAGGCUGGUCUUGAACUCCUGACCUCAGGUGAUCCGCCCGCUGUGGCCUCCCAAAAUGCUGGGAUUACAGGCAUGAGCCACCACACCUGGCCUUACCAGUUGAUUAUUUAAGUGAACCUUCAGCGGCAAAGUUGUUUUAAAACGUACUGAUAAUUGAGCCUUGUCUGCAGAGGUUGAGGUCAUUGAUUUAAGGUGGGCCCAGCCAGUGGUUCAAUUUUGCCUGUCUUCCAGUGAUUGGAAUGUACAGCCAAGAGAGUGUAAUUAUGGUGCUGGCAGAAGUAUUAACCUAUCUGGAUGUCACUGUCUUCACUUUCUGACUAGGCUGCUUCUUUCCACCUCAGUAUUUAUGAGAGAUCUAUAAUUUUAUAACAAACUUUUAAAGGAGACUUGGUUUCCUUAAACACAACUGAUAACAGCAGUUUUCUGGUUUUCUUCCAUUUUUGUUUUUAGAGCCACUGUCUCACUGUGUUGCCCAGGCUGGCUUUGAACUACUGAACUCAAGGGAUCUUCCCACCUCAGCUACCUGAGUAGCUGGGACUAUAAGUGGCACACCACUGUGCCUGGUCAGUUUUCUGGUUUUGAUAACCUUUGGUUGUGUGAGAUAUUAUCAUUGGGGAAAGUUGGAGGAAUAUAUAGGAGAAGUCUAUUUUUGCAACUUCCAUGUCUUAUUUUCAAAUAACCCUAAUUGAUUAUUUACUUCAUUGAAACAUUGGACUUCAAUGAAAUCAUUACCUAUAUUUGUAAUGACUUGAGAGUAAUAUAAUUUAACUUAUUUUUUUGACCUCUGAACUUUUUAUUGGCCUCCUGCCCCAAAGGGUACCCUGCUUCUGCUGGUUUAAUGUCUCAGAACUUUGGUGUCUUUGGUCUCAGAUACCACUUUGCCAUCCACUAUCCAGUGGAUGGUGGUCUUUUGGAUGGUUUGCAUGGAGUUGCUGUUGUCCAGGGCAUCACCAAGAUUGAAGUCCUUGCCGUCUUCCAGCAGGUGGCGGUAGGUGGCAAUCUCAGCCUCCAGCUUGACCCUGAUGUUCAGCAGGGCCUGGUAUUCCUGGGUCUGGCACUGUCCCUUUGCCCGGGCCUGUGCCAGCUCUGACUCCAGGUGCAGCAAGAUCCUGUUAAGCUGCUCCAUCUGCAGGGCAUAAUAGGCCUCCACCUCCCUUAGGCUGUUCUCCAAGCUGGCCUUCGGAUUUCUCAUGGAGUCCAGGUUGAUCUCCAAGGACUGGACUGUAUGUCCCUGUUAUCAUCAUAGCAGCUCCAACCUGGGUGGACAGUGUGAUGACCCCUGUGGUGCUCUCCUCAAUCUGCUAAGACCAGUACUUGUCCAGCUCCUAUUGGUUCUUCAGAGCCAGCUUGCCAUAUUGGGCCCAGAUGUCUGCCAUGAUCUUGGUGGGAUCCUGAGAUUUGGGGACAUCUACCUCCACAUUCAACCCAGAGCUAGCAGUCUGGGCUUGUAGGACUUUUACUUCCUCUUCGUGGUUCUUCCUCAUGAAGCACAGCUCCUCCUUGAGAGCCUCAAUCUGUCUCCAGCUGCAGCCGAGUGACAUUGGUGUCAUGGAUUUCGUUUCCAUGGAUGUUGUUCUUCACAGACUGGCGUGUGGCCAACUCUGUCUCAUACUUGACUCUAAAGUCAUCAGCAGCAAGACAGGCAUUGUCAAUCUGCAGAAUGCAUUGUCCACAGUAUUUGCAAAGAUCUGAGCCCUCAGGUCCUCGAUGGUCUUGAAGUAAUGGCUCCAGUCUCUGACCUGGGGUCCCUUCUCCAGGUGCUCCUGGAUUUUGCUUUCCAGCCUCUGGUUCUUGGUCUCCAGACUCCUCACUCUGUCCAGAGACAACGUCUCACUAUGUUGCCCAGGCUGUCCUCGAACUCCCGGCUUCAGCAAUCCUCCCGCCUCACCCUCCGAUGUAGCUAGGACUACAGGACCCCGACCCGGCGCCGCCUAAGAACUGUUUUUAAACGUGAAAGCCACGAUUAUCAUUUGCUUUUUGCUCUUCCUUUCAUCUUCUCGAGCUCAGUGGUAGUCGGCUGCCUACACCCCGUCAGACAAGUGGCCUGAGUCCCCCGCAACCCCUGCAGGUCGGGACCGCCCCCGCCAAGCCUCAAGGUGUUCAAGCCAGGAACGAUCGAGGUCAGCUCUGCCACGGAACAUGUUUAAGACCCGGCAGCAGGUUCCGGGGGAGGUGAAUUGACUUCACAACGGUCGAGAAGGGGGAGCCCGCCCACUUCGUCAUUUCUCGGAAUCCCAGGGGACUCGCCGGAAGAGCGGCUCACAAGCCGGAAAACCGGCAAAUCCGAGGUCUCUCGGCUCAUGCGCCGCGCACACCUCUUCGCGUGAUUGCUGUAGAGAGGAUCCCUCCGCCAGCCACUGCAUCCGGCGGCCGGAUCUAACUUGCCUGCCAGGGUUCUACCCAUGAGCGGCCGUGACGUAGGCGGUUCUUUCCCUUGGCCCCUCCCUCCGCGGCACCGCCUCUUGUGACGUAAGCCUCAGAAUCCGCUGGCUUAGUCCGUCUCUGUUAUCCCUCGCCUGAUCAUCCCUGGGUCUGAGCAAAAGUAAAAGUAAUUUUGUCAUUUCCUGAAACUUCAAGUUAAAUUUUUGAGCUGUUCAUUUCCUAAAAGGGCGAAAACGCGGACACUCCUCGAGCUAGUUCAUCGCCUUUUAACCUGGGAAUUCUGUUAAAAGGAAGUAACUGCGAAAAUGUGUUCGCUGUUAGGUUUCUUUGGAAGCUUUGGGUUGUGUUCAUGCGUUCUCUCGGCGUGUGAACUGGGAGAAAGUGGAGCGCCAGCCAAAUAAAAUGACAACUUUGUAUAUGGGGGCUGGGAGGUAUGAUGCCCGUUCUAGCUUGAUGAAAUUAAUGUAAUUUUAA
Molecule: non-coding RNA, 2881 nt
Organism: Chlorocebus sabaeus (green monkey)
Lineage: Eukaryota; Metazoa; Chordata; Mammalia; Primates; Cercopithecidae
Source: RefSeq, a predicted model, not a curated record